Ribosomal RNA from Chelonoidis abingdonii (Abingdon island giant tortoise), 117 nucleotides. The record is from Ensembl. NCBI's taxonomy places the organism in Eukaryota, Metazoa, Chordata, Testudines, Testudinidae.
UCCUUUAGCCACUCUGCCUUGGAGUGAGAUUACAUCAGAUCUCACAAGCUGAAGCAGGUUGGACCUUGUCUGUACUUGGAAAGGAAACCUCCAAGGAAAGUCCAAGUGCUGCAGAGG